RNAcentral lists this ribosomal RNA (253 nucleotides) under uncultured bacterium. Its description in RNAcentral is "partial 16S ribosomal RNA". It matches the Rfam family "Bacterial small subunit ribosomal RNA", at positions 524 to 776 of the family's 1533-position model. The record is from RNAcentral.
UACAGAGGUCGCAAGCGUUGCUCGGAUUCAUUGGGCGUAAAGGGUGCGUAGGCGGCGCCGUAAGUCGGGUGUGAAAUUUCGGAGCUUAACUCCGGAACUGCAUUCGAUACUGCGGUGCUUGAGGACUGGAGAGGGGACUGGAAUUCAUGGUGUAGCGGUGAAAUGCGUAGAGAUCAUGAGGAAGACCAGUGGCGAAGGCGGGUCUCUGGACAGUUCCUGACGCUGAGACACGAAGGCCAGGGGAGCAAACGGG